CAGCCGCCACGGGAAUACGAAGGGUGCAAGCGUUACUCGGAAUUACUGGGCGUAAAGCGUGCGUAGGUGGUGGUUUAAGUCCGUUGUGAAAGCCCUGGGCUCAACCUGGGAAUUGCAGUGGAUACUGGGUCACUAGAGUGUGGUAGAGGAUAGUGGAAUUUCCGGUGUAGCAGUGAAAUGCGUAGAGAUCGGAAGGAACAUCUGUGGCGAAGGCGACUAUCUGGGCCAACACUGACACUGAGGCACGAAAGCGUGGGGAGCAAACAGGAUUAGAUACCCCGGUAGUCCUGUCUCUUAUACA
This 301-nucleotide ribosomal RNA is filed under the name uncultured bacterium. RNAcentral describes it as "partial 16S ribosomal RNA". It matches the Rfam family "Bacterial small subunit ribosomal RNA", at positions 509 to 809 of the family's 1533-position model. The record is from RNAcentral.